GACGAACGCUGGCGGCGUGCUUAACACAUGCAAGUCGAACGGAAAGGCCCUGCUUUUGUGGGGUGCUCGAGUGGCGAACGGGUGAGUAACACGUGAGUAACCUGCCCUUGACUUUGGGAUAACUUCAGGAAACUGGGGCUAAUACCGGAUAGGAGCUCCUGCUGCAUGGUGGGGGUUGGAAAGUUUCGGCGGUUGGGGAUGGACUCGCGGCUUAUCAGCUUGUUGGUGGGGUAGUGGCUUACCAAGGCUUUGACGGGUAGCCGGCCUGAGAGGGUGACCGGCGUGACGGGGCGUGUGUACGGGCCCAUACUGCGUGGGGGGGGAGGAGGGGGGAUUGGGCAAGGCGGGGCGGACGCGGGGAGCGACAAGGCGGAGUGCGGAAGGCGGGGCUUCGGUUGUUACACGGCUGUCCGCUGGGCUGAGGGUGGGGUGAGGUGAAGGGAUCAACAAGCUCCGCAUACCUACGUGCCGGCAGCUUGUGUAAUAAGCGGACGAGCAGAGGCCUGAUU
Molecule: ribosomal RNA, 509 nt
Filed under: uncultured bacterium
Lineage: Bacteria
Description: partial 16S ribosomal RNA
Rfam family: Bacterial small subunit ribosomal RNA (bases 20-332)
Source: RNAcentral